GACCUACGGGGGGCAGCAGUGGGGAAUAUUGCACAAUGGGCGAAAGCCUGAUGCAGCAACGCCGCGUGAACGAAGAAGGCUCUUGGGUCGUAAAGUUCUGUUCUGAGGGAAGAAGAAAGUGACGGUACCUCAGGAGAAAGCCCCGGCUAACUACGUGCCAGCAGCCGCGGUAAUACGUAGGGGGCCAGCGUUGUCCGGAUUUACUGGGUGUAAAGGGAGCGUAGACGGCAGUGCAAGUCUGGAGUGAAAGGCGGGGGCUCAACCCCCGGCCUGCUCUGGAAACUGAACGGCUGGAGUGCAGGAGG
RNAcentral lists this ribosomal RNA (305 nucleotides) under uncultured bacterium. RNAcentral describes it as "bacterial SSU rRNA". It matches the Rfam family "Bacterial small subunit ribosomal RNA", at positions 334 to 655 of the family's 1533-position model. The record is from RNAcentral.